GCUAAGGUUACUCUUAUCAUAAAUGAGGGGACAGGCGUUUGGGGUAUAGGUCUCCCCUGAUGCUGGGUGGCUGCUCAGAGUCACUGGCAUACCCUAGAGGAAUAAUCACAGAAUCACAGAAUUUCUAGGUUGGAAGAGACCUCAAGAUCAUCGAGUCCAACCUCUAACCUAACACUAACAGUCCCCACUAAACCAUAUCCCUAAGCUCUACAUCUAAAUGUCUUUUGAAGACUUCCAGGGGUGGUGACUCCACCACCUCCCUGGGCAGCCCGUUCCAGUGCCUCACAACCCUUUCAGUAAAGAAAUUCUUCCUAACAUCUAACCUAAAACUCCCCUGGUGCAAGGGGAGUUUUAAAAAACAACUUUUUUUUUUUUUUUUUUUUUUUGUUAAAAAACAGCUGAGGCUGAAGUCCUGAGGAGGAACAUCCAUCCCUCAGUUAUGCUGUGUUCAUGGAAAUCGAAUUGAUUGAGCAACCUGUCUACUGGAGGUUGGAGCAAGAUGAUCUUUAAGGUCCCUUCCAACCCCAACCAUUCUGUGAUUCUAUGACAGAUGAUUAAUUGAGGAAUACAUAAAUUUCAUUCACCUCAUCUGCUUCUCUUGCCCAUCUGAUCCCCAGAUUCUAAUUUUACUUCUGCAAGUACUUCUGCUGAUUCUUUUCAGCCUGUUUAUCUCUGACUGUAUGUCUGAUAACUGCGUUUAGUCCACCACCUCCUCUCCUGGAGUGGAACCUGAAAAUGAAAAGAUUAUGUUUCCAAACACUGGUUCCUCCAAGCAGGCUGGAAACAUCUCUGGUGCUGAGUGGCAGAUUGCCGUUUGUGUUUAGAAUGUUGCAACUAAAUCUUUUAAGGGUGAUUAUGGAAAAUGAGAAAUCAUUUCCUAAUAACACUGCUUGGAGCCAUUGCUGGAGGUUUACCUCCUCGCCUUUCAUGUGUGCCUGGGACUGGGAACCCCCCUGCGCUCUGCAGCGGGAUGAAGAACAGCAAUUAAAGGAUGGCCAUAUUCCCUCAGCAGUUCCAUAACCUGCUUUUUUGAAGCAGCUGCCUCAAGGAACUAGGUCCAUGACUAGUGCAGUCAAAAUCCAUAUGAAGGAUCUGCUCUUUCCUUUUUUCCUUUUCCUUCUCUCAUUCCCUUCUUCCCCUCGCCCCCCCCCCCCUCCUUUUUCCCUCCCUUUCUCCCUAACUCCCUCCUUCCUUUCUUUUCUUUCUCUUUCUCCCUCUCCCUCUCAUGCUCUUUUUUUUUUUUUUUUCUUUUUUUUUUUUUUUCCCACUUUUACAGUGAAUAAUCUAGUUGGCUGGUAGGAAGCCUUAUGAAGGGCUAAUUCAAGGAUAAAGCAAGAGUGUUUAUAUUUAUCCUGUGUUUGGUCACAAGAGAUUCUCUUUCAUUUCAUUUGAAAUCAUAAAACAUAGUUAGCUUAUACACCAUAAAUAAUGUUAGCUUUCAAAAAAUCUAUGAAAGAAUGGCAGUGUGUCUUUGCUGAGGGCAAUUUAAAACCUCUUGUGUGAGCUGAUCAAAUUAAAUAAAGCUUCUGUGCUGUCAAGGUUCA
RNAcentral lists this long non-coding RNA (1544 nucleotides) under Anas platyrhynchos platyrhynchos (common mallard). RNAcentral's name for it is "lncRNA (ENSAPLG00000026789.1)". Lineage: Eukaryota; Metazoa; Chordata; Aves; Anseriformes; Anatidae. The record is from RNAcentral.